This is a non-coding RNA of Lolium perenne, 2317 nucleotides long. NCBI's taxonomy places the organism in Eukaryota, Viridiplantae, Streptophyta, Magnoliopsida, Poales, Poaceae. The record is from RefSeq and is a predicted model, not a curated record.
CCUCGCACGUGACCCGUCGGAUCUUCCUUGCGACGAAUCUCGGUCGUCCGUUUUUCUUCACUGUGACAUAUAAAAGCGGCAGCUCAAGUUAGAAACCCUAGCCGCCGCUGCCCAAUCCCCUCACGCUUCGCCUCCUCUCCCAAUCCCACCACGUCUCUCCUGCUCCUCCCUCCUCUCCCUUGGCAAGAAGACGAAGGGGGAUCGGGAAACCCUAGCCGCCGGCCCCCAAUCGUCGCACGUCCUCUCUCCCCAAUCCCGUCGUCCUCCACUCCUCCCAAUCCCGUCUCCCAGUUGUCCUCCUCAAUCCCGUUGCUGCUCUCCCGUUACCACUUCCCUGGCUUUCUCUUCUUCUCAUCCGUGAGCCUGUACGUGGUGGUGGAGAUGCACAAGGCGUCGGUGCUGGAGAUCGAGCCGCCGCCAACACCACAUCUCCCCGGGCGAGCUCCUCGAUGCCUCAACAGGGUUUGAUUAGGCCGAUAUGGGCAGGGACAGGUGCAGCGGGCGGCGGCCGCAGGUGGACGAUGGUAGCCGCCGUUGGUGGACGCACGAUGGCAGAGGUGAAAUCGAGCGCAGACCACGGACACAGCUUGGGGUUUGGGCGGCAACGCCCAUCGAGCGACGAUGAGCACGGCUGAAUGAGGCCAACGACCACGGGAUUAGAUUGGUUCUUGGGCAGCGACCCAUGAUUUGGGCGGCAGUUCGAUGACGAGCACGGCUAGAGGAGGAGAAGAUGACCACUGGCGAUGGAAUUGCAAUCGUUGCUCUGCUGAUGUUCACCUCCUUCCUAAACCCUUGCAUGUGACUUACGGCUCAUCGCUUGCUUCUCAUUUCAUUUACUGUGCCGUUGUCGAUGAUCAGUUCACUCUUCACUGAUUUAAGCAGAUGCCGUGGAGUUUGGUUCUUUGGCUCCCUCGGCCCCAAGCACUGUUUGCCUAAGGUUCCAACCUCUUGCACAGUUUAGUCUGCUGUAAUCUUGCUCUCUUGCUCUGUUGGUUGUUUUUGUUCUUCUAAGUAAAUGUAUAUAUCGUAUCAAUCAUUGUGUGGUGGCAUGUCAAUUUAGCUUAUUAUUUGAUCGAGCUCGGCCUCCUUUGCACCCACUUCAUCAUGCACAAUGCCUCAUUGGCCAUUCGGUUUGUGGUGUCUACCAAUUGUAUGAUCCAGAAAGUAAUGGAAUAUUAAGCUAUUGGUGGAUGGCCUUCUCAAUCCUUCAGGUUUCUACAUACUAUUUAUAGUGUCAUUAAGCAUGUGACCUCGCCGCCGACCACCAGACGCCCACACCCGACGCAGCAGCCAAAACCAGCACCACACUCUGCUGCAAACAACUGCCGGAGCACCAGAUCGGGACCGGAGCCGUCAAAGAUCUGGUCCCCAGCCACCACGCCGUCGAGGAGCCGCGCCAUGGGCCCGCAAGGCCCAGAUCGGCCGGCCGCAGCGACCCCGACACCUCCACCGCGCCAGGGAUGAGGGAUCCCUGGCCGCCAGCGCGCUUGCGCGACAACGCGCAGAACCGGAGCAGGGCCUCGCGCCACCACGCAAGGUCCACGGCCCGCGCGGCCCAGAUCCGGGCCCGCGCCGCCGGCGCAGGAAGAACGCGGCGCGCCCGCGCUGCCGACCCCGUCGCCCAGCCCAAAGCCCCCGCCACUACGCCGACGCCCGCCCGAGGCCACGCACCACCACCGCAGGCCGCAGCCGCCGCAUCCCGAGUCUGCUCCCCCGGUGCCGGAGUGAAGUCGCCCGCUCGCUUGAGCGCGACCGCGACCGGACGCUCGCUUGAGCGCCGCCGGCAGCAACCGCGCGCGACGGGCGGCGAACAGCAGGAGGCGGCCGAGGGCGCGACGCCACGGCGAGAGGCGCAGGACGGCGACGACCUCCGGGUCCGGCGUGACGUCUUCCCUCCGAGGCGGCCGCGCGAGAUCCCGAGAGGCAUAGAACCUCGCCGCCCCCUUCAUCGGCGGCGGACGGCUUCGCCGCCGGCUGCCUCGGGAGACGACGAGGGAGAGGGCCGGGGUCUAGGUGGCGGUGGCAGGAGGGCUAGGUUUUGGCUCCCCUGUCGCCUGGAGGAGGCGACCGAGGGGAGCGAGGGGCGUCCGGCCGCCCUAGACGUUGUUUAUCUCCAAUUUGCCCCUUUCAGAUCGUUGCACCUAUAUUUUGCUCCAUGCAACGGUUGGUUAACGUUAACUUCUGUGUUGUUUUUGCAUAUAACUUCUACCCCUAUUAUUUACAGCAUUAUGUGCAUAACGCAGCCUGGCUUUAUUUUCGCAUAGAAAACUUAUGUACCUAAAACAUUAUUUAUGUUAUGGAUGUAUGUUAUGUCUCA